RNAcentral lists this ribosomal RNA (228 nucleotides) under uncultured bacterium. Its description in RNAcentral is "partial 16S ribosomal RNA". It matches the Rfam family "Bacterial small subunit ribosomal RNA", at positions 29 to 237 of the family's 1533-position model. The record is from RNAcentral.
AAUGAACGCUGGCGGCGUGCUUAACACAUGCAAGUCGAGCGAGGCCUGGGGGGCAACUCCCAGAGUCGAGCGGCGGACGGGUGAGUAACACGUGGGUAACCUGCCCGGAAGUGGGGAAUAACCUCGGGGAAAACUCGAGCUAAAUACCGCAUGACAUCUCCGGGACGAAAAGUCCUGGCGAUCAAAAGCGGGGUCGCAAGAUCUCGCGCUACCGGAUGGGCCCGCGCC